Ficedula albicollis (Collared flycatcher) is the source of this 370-nucleotide long non-coding RNA. RefSeq lists it as uncharacterized. Lineage: Eukaryota; Metazoa; Chordata; Aves; Passeriformes; Muscicapidae. The record is from RefSeq and is a predicted model, not a curated record. The transcript is spliced from 3 exons.
UAUGCAUUGUAAAAUUCCAUUGUAAAAUCCCAUGCUGGAAAAUCUUUGUCGAAAUCAUUGCAUCCAGCUAUAAUGUUGAGAAAUUCUUAAAUAUGGGAUUGGUUCAUUCAACACACCUGGAGAUGACCCCUGCCUUGUUGCUCCCAGAAUGGGACAUCUCUUUAUACCCUCUUGAAAAACAUCAGCUGCUGCACUGGUACCUCCUCUGAUAAUCAAAGAGGAGAGGUGGAAUUGAGAUGGCAAAGAACAACUGCAAGCUGAGGGUCGCUUCUGCUGUGGGAUCCCCACCCUGGGAACACAGAGAGGCUGUGGGAAGAAGAGUGGGAUGGGGGUGUCCUCACUCCUGACUUGGACUACAGAAUGCUGUACA